AUUAGUGGCGAACGGGUGAGUAAUACGUGAGUAACCUGCCCUUGACUCUGGGAUAAGCCUGGGAAACUGGGUCUAAUACUGGAUACUACCUCUCAUCGCAUGGUGGGUGGUGGAAAGGGUUUUACUGGUUUUGGAUGGGCUCACGGCCUAUCAGCUUGUUGGUGGGGUAAUGGCUCACCAAGGCGACGACGGGUAGCCGGCCUGAGAGGGUGACCGGCCACACUGGGACUGAGACACGGCCCAGACUCCUACGGGAGGCAGCAGUGGGGAAUAUUGCACAAUGGGCGGAAGCCUGAUGCAGCGACGCCGCGUGAGGGAUGACGGCCUUCGGGUUGUAAACCUCUUUCAGUAGGGAAGAAGCG
RNAcentral lists this ribosomal RNA (362 nucleotides) under Tetraselmis astigmatica. Its description in RNAcentral is "partial Bacterial small subunit ribosomal RNA". It matches the Rfam family "Bacterial small subunit ribosomal RNA", at positions 91 to 452 of the family's 1533-position model. The record is from RNAcentral. Lineage: Eukaryota; Viridiplantae; Chlorophyta; Chlorodendrophyceae; Chlorodendrales; Chlorodendraceae.